UUCCGGUUGAUCCUGCCAGAGGCGACCGCUUUUGGAGUUCGAUUAAGCCAUGCGAGUAGAAAGAAAUUAGAUUCUUUGCAAACUGCUCAGUAACACGUGGAUAACCUGCCCUAUGCUCCGGAAUAACCUCGGGAAACUGAGAAUAAUACCGGAUAGAUCACAACGCCUGGAACGGUGUGUGGUUCAAAGGUCACGGCAUAGGAUGGGUCUGCGGCGUAUCAGGUCGUAGGGGGUGUAACGGACCUCCUAGCCAUCGACGCGUACGGGUGUUGGGAGACAUAGCCCGGAGAUGGAUUCUGAGACACGAAUCCAGACCCUACGGGGUGCAGCAGGCGCGAAAACUUCACACUGCAGGAAACUGUGAUGAGGGAACUCCAAGUGCGCGCACUUAGUGUGCGCUUUUCUUGACUAUUAAUCGGUCAUGGAAUAAGGGCUGGGAAAGACCGGUGCCAGCCGCCGCGGUAAUACCGGCAGCUCAAGUGGUCGUCGCUUUUAUUGGGCCUAAAACGUCCGUAGCCUGUUUGGUAAAUCUGUGGGUAAAUCAACCAGCUUAACUGGUUGAAUUCUGCAGAGACUGCCAGACUAGGGACCGGGAGAGGUGUGGGGUACUCUAGGGGUAGGGGUAAAAUCCUGUCAUCCUUAGAGGACCACCAGUUGCGAAGGCGCCACACUGGAAACGGAUCCGACGGUCAGGGACGAAGCCUAGGGGCACGAACCGGAUUAGAUACCCGGGUAGUCCUAGGUGUAACGCUGUGAACUUGG
Molecule: ribosomal RNA, 762 nt
Filed under: uncultured Candidatus Poseidoniales archaeon
Lineage: Archaea; Methanobacteriati; Thermoplasmatota; Candidatus Poseidoniia; Candidatus Poseidoniales
Description: bacterial SSU rRNA
Rfam family: Archaeal small subunit ribosomal RNA
Source: RNAcentral